This 3310-nucleotide long non-coding RNA is filed under the name Elaeis guineensis (African oil palm). RNAcentral describes it as "long non-coding RNA (EGUI_LNC022613)". The record is from RNAcentral. Lineage: Eukaryota; Viridiplantae; Streptophyta; Magnoliopsida; Arecales; Arecaceae.
UCCUUAUAUUUUUCAGAAAAUACAUGAUGAAAUUAAUUGGAGCCGCUGGAGUCGAGACAACAUCGAGCUCAUUCUCACUGCUUCUGACACGGCAAAAGUUAUCAUGGCGUCAACGACCUCUAUGCGGUGGUCGAGGGAAGGUGACCAGCAUCACAAAGUUCUUUCCCAGAAUAACUAUGGCAUGGACUUCCGAGGGACCGUUGGUAGGACAGGAUCCAAAAAUCUCACAAGUUUUUUGCAUGGAUUACUUCAGGGACCGCUGGUCCUCGCAGCCACCUUGCUUGUCAUCGUCUGGCCCCGAGUUUCUUCCCGUUUAUAGGAGCUGGAUUCUCUUCUACAAGACCAGUUGAUUUGGCGAGGAUGAGACUGAAAGAACGGUCCAAAGUCUAGCAACCCUUCCAAGCAGUGGGAUCGUCAAGGAGGUAUGGUUGUUGUCAAACAUUUCUUUAUACAUGGUUGCAUGCCUCAGCCAUCUUCUGAACCAAACCAUUAUCGAUCAAUUAGACUAUGUAACCCUACAUAUAAAAUUUCUUUGAUCUUUAGAGGAAGCAAUUCUACUGCAACAUAUAUAUAUAUAUAUAUAUAUAGGACAAUGUGUUCAUUGCCCAAGAGGCAGUGCAUACUUUGUAUGAAACCAAGGCACUAAAAAUCUGAUGCUAGUGAAGAUGGACAUGGAACGGACCUACCAUCAUGCUUCAUGGCCGUUCUUGCAUCAGGUGAUGAAUUAUGGGAGUCUCAAAUACGUUAAGUCUCAAAGUCUUUAAGUAUUUAUUCUGAAGAGUUUUGUUUACCUAAGAUGGGUAUCCAUGCAUCAUGUCUUUAAUAUCGGGGUGUUCUUGGAACCUCAUUUUUCAAGGGGGUUCUUGGAACGUAGGUGUGGUAGUUGGAAAGUAUUCCUCCUCGUAUUUAGUUGUUAGAAUUAUGCUUAAGUUUUUGAUGCUGCACACAUAUGGAUCGAGAUGAACUCUUGCUUAUUAGAAUUCAGGAUGGAUAUGUAUUCUAAAAAAAAAUAUUCAAAAAAAAUUUGAAUUGGAUAUGAAUAAUGAUAUUGUCAGUCAUAUAUCCGACUUGAUAUAAUUUUAAUCUAAAUAUCUUCUUUCAAAAUUAUAAUUAUUUUAUAAUAUUUAUAAGAUAAAUUUUUUAUCCAAUCUAACCUACAUGUCUAUUUAAUCCAAUCCGAGCAAUGUCUCUAUCCAACCCGGCUUGAGACGUACAAAGAUAUAUAUAAUGGGUAUGGUAUAAGGUUUUUAAUUACAAAGUGGAUACGAGUAUGGAUCAAUUUGAUCCAUAUCUGAUUUAUUACCAUCUUUAUUAUUUGGGAUAGGUAUAUACUUUUCUAUCUCAUAACCGAAAUCAAUCAGGAUUAGCCACCACCAGAAGAUGAUGAUUAUAUAGAGCAUGCAUCAUCUAUGAGACGGUGGCAUUCAUGGACCAUUUUAUUUGAUGGCCAUCCAUCUAUAAAUAAUGGCCAUUGAAGAUUGUACGAUACCCUGUGCAAUCUGCACAUUGCAGGUCCAUGCUCGGUAUAUAUUAGUCUAUUUGACAAGGGUAAAUCCUCCCAUCCAACCCUCUUCUGGUCAUGGCUCAAAUUGAGCCAAAUUGCAUCUUACAUGAGUGAAACGCUCAUUGCCCAUUUAUUUCGACUCCCAAUUAAUUGACAUCUAGCUACUUUUUAGAUGAACAUCCACUAACAUUUAGGUAAACCUAGCCUUGGGUCCAUUCCACAUUUUGUUAAUGGCGUUACUUCUUAGAGAUUCACAUGACAUUUGUUUUAUUCACUGUUUGGUUCCCAUGUUUAGAUAAAAGCUUCACGGAUGUAUCUUCUCUGGUUAUGUUAAUAUAUAUUUUUUACAUUAAAGAUCUGUUUAGUUAGGAACAAAUCAUCAUGUUUGGUGUGAAACAGAGAAGAAAAAGAUGAUAAAAAAAUAAUAAAUUUUAUAUUUAUUUUUUAAAAAAAAUAAAAUAAAUAUCAGAUUGAUAUUUGAUAAAUUUUCGAAUGAUCAUAAUUCAUACUUGAUAAAAAUUUUUUUAAUAAAAUUACUAUAUAAUCAUUAAAUUUAUUUGAUAUCUUUUCAUAUUUUUUCAAUAUAAAAUUUUUGUAAAAAAAUUAAGAUGAAAAUGACAUUAUAUAAAAGACUGUAUGAUUAUGGUUAUUAUAUAUAAAUUAAUUAAAAAUAAUAAUAUUAUUUUAAUAUUAAAAAAUAUUUUAUAUUGAAAGAUACAGUAUGUUAGUAAAUUUGAUCAUAUUUUUAUAUAUAUUUAUUUUCAACAUAAUAUUUUUUUUUAAUAUUAUUUUUUUAAAAUAAUUUUUUUAUCAAUCGAGUAUAUUAAAAAUUAUUUUUUUAAAUUUAAAAAUUAUCAGAUCACCUUCUAAUACGACACAUCCAACCAAACAGAUCCAAAUGUGUUUAACUGCUAGUAAAUGUGCCGUACUCUUAUUUAAGCCAUGCAACAAACGUACUAAAUGCUGAUAAUAAAGUCGUUAGGGCUUUUUGCGGAUUGAAAGCCAUAGGUCUAGUCGUGUUGCUCCUUUAUUCCAGAUGGAGAAUGCUGUGAGACGUGGCCUGGACAUUGAUGCAUGUUGUGUUGUGCUGUGCUGGGUAGAAUGCAUCAUGGUGUACAUAUAAGCAGUUAUGGAAAUUACUGAAGAAGCAUCAUUAUUUUGGAGAUGCAAGUUGGUUGGAAAUUAUCAACUUCAUUAAAAUUUUCCCAUCAAAACGUAUUCUAACGGAUACGUUUUGUCUUCUCUCAUCAAAAUUCGCCAUUCAUUUUUCUGCUGUAGGGUGCUUUUUUUUUUUUUUGGCGUGGCAGAGCCCUCCAACACACCCUGUGACAUCUUCUUUCAAAAUAAUAUCCCGGAGACUACUGAUUCAGAGAGAAGGUCCCCCAAAUUAUAAAUUCAUUAUGAUCGGCCGCACAUAAAAAAUCAUUCAAUCUAUUAGCUGAUUAAAUUUUUUAUAAAAAUAUAAUAAUUAUAAUAAUUAUUUUAGAUUAGAACCGAUAGAUAACGAUGCAAUCCAUCAAUCCAAUUUGUGUUUAAUUUUCAUAAGCAUAUUUAGAUUUGGAUAAAAUAGAUUCAAGUCGGAGACAUUCAAUCCAUUUAAAUUAUUUAAUUUAUUUAAUAUUUAAUUUGGAUCAAAUCGAAUAAUCUGUUUAACUUAUAUAAUUCAUAUAAUUUAUUUAAAAUAAAAAUUAAAAAUAUAUUUAAUUUAUUUUUUAUAUUUAAUUUAAAAUAUUUAAUUUAUAUAAUUUAAAAUAAAUUAAAAAAACUAACCAUUUGAGUUUAAACUUAAAAAAAUCUAUCAACUUG